UUAUCUGUGUUUCAAAUAUAGAAAAAAUAGAACGGCAAUGUAUACCAGUUUUAAAUUUGACAGUAGAACUGGUCGAAUAAUUAAAACUAAAACGGAUUGCUGGGGAUACGUUUGUUUCAGUUUCAUUUACAUUAUAGACCACCCAUAUGAAUCUUGCAGCUGCUGAAGUUGCUCUAAGCGGGACAGUAGUUUCAAAUUUGUGUUUUUUCUUUCAUUUGCCCUUUCAGUCAUUUGCAGUUUUCAGUGAAAAUUCCAUAGUAUGCAGUGUCGAUAUUCAACCAAAGCUGUGAGAAUCGAAUACGACAGAAAAAGGUUUCACAAUAAGUUUUAACUGUUGGUGCUCGAAUUUUUAGUAGUUUUGGUUUCCAAAGAAGUUCUGGGAUGUAAUUACUUCGAUUGCCAUAUUUUAGUCACUUUUUAUAGCCAAGCGUCACAUAUUUUCAAUACAUCGAUGAAAGAAUGAGAAUUGAAAUUCUGCUGUUGCUACCUGAAGACGUUAGUUUAGUUUCGUCUUGUCACAGAGGAAAGAAAGACGUUGGCAAUUAUGCUCUCUCAUUUUUUCGAUGAGAAACGAAAAUGCUUCGUCUCUCUUCGUUUGUUCUGGUGUCGGUCAUUUACGAAUGAGAGUAAAACAUGGGAAAUGAGACUGUUGGAAUGGUUUCUUUCAGCCCGGUGGCAAGGAUAGGACGCUCCAGCAAGUGCUAUCGUAGCCAACAUCUGGGACAUUUGGUGGGCAAUCAGAGCGCUCAGAUUAUGAUAUUCUGAUCGAUAAUUUGCGGGGAAGUGCGGUAAAGGCAACUGAAUAAACAAAAUGAUGCUGGCCACAGUUACAUGACGUCAUAGCAGAGGACUGGUUUCUUUCAUUGAGAAUGCGUGACAUUUUUAAGCUCUGACCAGAGAUGCCAUUUAUACAGAUUUAUCUGUAUUAUACAGAUUUUUAUAUCCUCAUACAGAUCUGAUACAGAAUACAGAUGUUAUACAGAUUCCCUAAAUUUAAUACAGAUUUGUACAGAUUUCACAAGAAGUAAUAAAGAAAAAUUAAACUGUUUUCGUAUGAACUAUCUUUUAGUAUUUGAUUGC
Molecule: long non-coding RNA, 1080 nt
Organism: Malaya genurostris
Lineage: Eukaryota; Metazoa; Arthropoda; Insecta; Diptera; Culicidae
Exons: 3
Source: RefSeq, a predicted model, not a curated record